UGGCUCGGUUGGUAGAGCAUGGCGCUUGUAACACCACGGCUGUGGGUUCGACUCCCAU
RNAcentral lists this transfer RNA (58 nucleotides) under Salmo salar (Atlantic salmon). It matches the Rfam family "tRNA", at positions 8 to 63 of the family's 71-position model. From Rfam's summary of the family: Transfer RNA (tRNA) molecules are approximately 80 nucleotides in length. Their secondary structure includes four short double-helical elements and three loops (D, anti-codon, and T loops). Lineage: Eukaryota; Metazoa; Chordata; Actinopteri; Salmoniformes; Salmonidae. The record is from Rfam by way of RNAcentral.